AGGUGUGUAGCAUAAAUGGCUUUGCAAUGGUCUCCAAAACCAUAAGAUACAGGUUCGAAUCCUGUCACACCUG
This 73-nucleotide transfer RNA is filed under the name Anaerostipes hadrus. Its description in RNAcentral is "tRNA-Trp". It matches the Rfam family "tRNA". Rfam says of the family: Transfer RNA (tRNA) molecules are approximately 80 nucleotides in length. Their secondary structure includes four short double-helical elements and three loops (D, anti-codon, and T loops). Lineage: Bacteria; Bacillati; Bacillota; Clostridia; Lachnospirales; Lachnospiraceae. The record is from RNAcentral.